This 775-nucleotide ribosomal RNA is filed under the name uncultured Neocallimastigales. Its description in RNAcentral is "partial large subunit ribosomal RNA". It matches the Rfam family "Eukaryotic large subunit ribosomal RNA", at positions 23 to 647 of the family's 3401-position model. The record is from RNAcentral. Lineage: Eukaryota; Fungi; Neocallimastigomycota; Neocallimastigomycetes; Neocallimastigales.
AGAGAGAGACAUGCGCGCAUAUCAAUAAGCGGAGGAAAAGAAACUAACAAGGAUUCCCCUAGUAACGGCGAGUGAAGCGGGAAGAGCUCAAAUUUGAAAUCUUAAAGGGUUUCCCUUUACGAAUUGUAGUUUAAAGAAGUGUUUUCUGUUGAGGUUUUGGUAAAAGUUCUUUGGAAUAGGACAUCAUAGAGGGUGAGAAUCCCGUAUUUGACCUUUACUUUCAACUUUGUGAUACACUUUCAAAGAGUCGGAUUGUUUGGGAAUGCAGUCCAAAAUGGGUGGUAAAUUUCAUCUAAAGCUAAAUAUUGGCGAGAGACCGAUAGCGAACAAGUACCGUGAGGGAAAGAUGAAAAGAACUUUGAAAAGAGAGUUAAACAGUACGUGAAAUUGUCAAAAGGGAAGCGUUUGACACCAGUGUUGUUUUUCUGAAAAUCAAUUAAAGAACUGUUUAUGCUAAGCUGUUUAGACUUUAUCAGCUAUCUGUUUAGUUUUGAGCUUUUCUUUAAUGCACUUUUCAGUUAACAAGUCAACAUCAGAUUUCUUUUGCUGUAAAAAAGCUUGAGGAAGGUGGCUUGAGAUUCGUCUUAAGUGUUUAUAGCCUCUUGCCUAUGCAGUCGGAGAGAUUGAGGUCUGCAGCGUAGAUCCUUCGGGGCUAAAUGCAUUUGUGCUAAGUUAUAGCAUUUUAUAGACAACUUGUUGACUAUGAUUUGUCUUGUAGCUUACUCGCUUAUGUUAUUUUACCUACGCUUAGGAUGUUGACGCAUGAGAUAUACGC